This 75-nucleotide transfer RNA is filed under the name Acidobacteriota bacterium. RNAcentral describes it as "tRNA-Val". It matches the Rfam family "tRNA". Rfam says of the family: Transfer RNA (tRNA) molecules are approximately 80 nucleotides in length. Their secondary structure includes four short double-helical elements and three loops (D, anti-codon, and T loops). RNAcentral also lists the same sequence under 1 other name. Lineage: Bacteria; Pseudomonadati; Acidobacteriota. The record is from RNAcentral.
GGGCGGUUAGCUCAGUGGUAGAGCACCGGUCUUACACACCGGCUGUCACAGGUUCGAACCCUGUACCGCCCACCA